Molecule: long non-coding RNA, 824 nt
Filed under: Ananas comosus (pineapple)
Lineage: Eukaryota; Viridiplantae; Streptophyta; Magnoliopsida; Poales; Bromeliaceae
Description: long non-coding RNA (ACOM_LNC024581)
Source: RNAcentral
CCCUAAACUGGCAAAAGUCCAGUUUUGCUUAUUUGAGUCUGUCGAAUCCAUUUUUGCAUCCAUUUCGCGCAGAAACAACUCCGACUCAGUCCGACACUCUCCAGAUGUGUCGACCAGUCACUAACACUGAAACCAAUCCUACCCAAAUCUCUAGAACACUACAUAAUUAAUAAUUAAAACAUAAUUACGUUAUGCUCAGAAGAGGUAAUCUCACAUUUCUAUCUAAAAAUUGACAGAAUUUACAAAUACAAAUCUCAACUGCGGACUAACAAACAGAAAAAAUAUAAUUGCAGCAGUUGCAUAAAACCAAACAGACUAGAUGUAGUUAUGACUACAAUAUUUACAACUGUAUGUACUUUCAACUUUACUAUUUUUGUAACUACAUCCUACCAAACGGCUCCUUAAUUGUUAUGAGUUUCUUAAUUGUGACUUACGAUAUCUAACUCGGGGAUAUUUUUGCAAAGAGUUUAUACCGUAGAUAAAUGUAAAAUAUGUUUUUAAGAGAUUGACUAGGAUACUAUCGAUAGUACCAAGCACUUGGUGCUACCGAAUUUUUUACCGUUAAAUUUAACUCUCUGACUAUUUUCACCCGUUAGAUUAUGCUAUUUAACUAACAACUUACUCAACCCUAGAGGGCCCACAUCAUACUAACCAUACAAUCCUUCAUCCAAAGGCCGAAAAUCUAAUAAUACCAAUAACUUGUACUAUUGGUAGUAUUCUAGCCUAGCUCUUGUUUUUAAAUACUUUACUGAGAUAUAUCAACAUACAACCUCAACUUCAAGUCAUUUUGAAAUUUAACAUUUCAACUAUUUUAUUUUUUAUUU